Long non-coding RNA from Osmia bicornis bicornis, 188 nucleotides. RefSeq lists it as uncharacterized. The record is from RefSeq and is a predicted model, not a curated record. Lineage: Eukaryota; Metazoa; Arthropoda; Insecta; Hymenoptera; Megachilidae. The transcript is spliced from 3 exons.
AGCUUGCCGGUAUAAAAGCUCACAUCCUAACCUCAUUUUCAUAAGUUUAUCGUCAAUUUCUUUUAAUGCAUGGUUGAAUAUUCGUUUAACAUAAUUUUGUUGGAUGCUGGUUUACCUGGGGGUCGGGUGAUAACAGGGGAAGGAUUGCAAGUUUCCAAACCAUAGCGCGACAUGAGCGCUAAUAAUGC